Molecule: long non-coding RNA, 426 nt
Filed under: Salvia miltiorrhiza (redroot sage)
Lineage: Eukaryota; Viridiplantae; Streptophyta; Magnoliopsida; Lamiales; Lamiaceae
Description: long non-coding RNA (SMIL_LNC003123)
Source: RNAcentral
AAAAGUGCAAAAAAGCGUUAUAAAAAGUGCAAAAAACCGUUAUGUAUUCUAUCAAGGAUAACGAUUAAAACCGUUAUAAAAAGUGCAAAAAACUGUUAACUAUGAUAAAAAAAAUUCUAAUACAUAACGGAAAAAUCUUAAUACAUAACGGUGAAAAACCGUUAUGUAUUCUAUCAAAGAUAACGGUUAAAACCGUUAUAAAAAGUGCAAAAAACUGUUAACUAUGAUAAAAAAAAAAAAAAAAAUUAUUACAUAACGGAAAAAUCUUAAUACAUAACGGUGAAAAACCGUUAUGUAUAACCUUUAUAGAUAACGGAUGCGUACUGUUAUGUAUGACGCAUCGUACCGUUAUCUAUGCUACUAUACAUAACGGUUUUGAAACUGUUGUGUAUGACGUAUAGAAUAGAUAACACCACUAUACACAAC